AUAUACUUAAGUAGUAAUAGUUAUGUUCUUGAAACUUAAAAAAUUUGGCGGUAUUUUAGUCUAUCCAGAGGAACCUGUUUUGUAAUCGAUAAUCCACGAUGGACCUUUCUUAAAUUUGUAAUCAGUUUAUAUACCGUCGUUAUCAGAAUAUUUUAUAAGAAUAAUAAUAUUCAAUAAUUUUAAUUAAAAUUUAUAUCAGAUCAAGGUGUAGCUUAUGUUUAAGUAAUAAUGGGUUACAAUAAAUAUAUUUAUACGGAUAAAAUUAUGAAAAAAAUUUUGAAGGUGGAUUUGGUAGUAAAAUUAUAAAGAUUAAUAAUUUGAUUUUAGCUCUAAAAUAUGUACACAUCGCCCGUCGCUCUUAUUAUUAAGGUAAGAUAAGUCGUAACAUAGUAGAUGUACUGGAAAGUGUAUCUAGAAUGA
RNAcentral lists this ribosomal RNA (420 nucleotides) under Drosophila ambochila. RNAcentral's name for it is "partial 12S ribosomal RNA". Lineage: Eukaryota; Metazoa; Arthropoda; Insecta; Diptera; Drosophilidae. The record is from RNAcentral.